GAUGAACGCUGGCGGCGUGCCUAACACAUGCAAGUCGAGCGAACAGACGAGGAGUUUGCGCGUCUGACGUUGGCGGCGGACGGGAGAGUCACAUGUGUAUAACCUACCUAUAAGACUGGGAUAAUUACGGGAAAUCGGAUCUAAUACCGGAUAAUAUAUUGAACCGCGUUGGGCAAUAGUUAGAUUCGGUUUUUGGGUCAGUAAUAGCUGAAUCCGCGCUGGAUUAGUUUGUGGGUAAGGAAACGGGUUACCAAGGCUACGAUGCGUAGACGACCUGAGCGGGUGGUUGCACACCCGGGCUGUGAGACUCGGUCCCGACACCUACGCGAGGCCGCAGUAGGGAAUCUUACGCAAUGGGCGAGAGCUUGACGGAGCAAAACGGCGUGAGUGAUGAAGGUGUUCGGAUGGUAAAGCUCUGUUAUUCGGGGAGAACAAAUGUGUAAGUACCUGUGGAGGUAUUGACGGUACCUAGUCAAAAAGCCCCGGCUAACUACGUG
This 497-nucleotide ribosomal RNA is filed under the name uncultured bacterium. Its description in RNAcentral is "partial 16S ribosomal RNA". It matches the Rfam family "Bacterial small subunit ribosomal RNA", at positions 28 to 507 of the family's 1533-position model. The record is from RNAcentral.